UAAAACCUAUUUAAAAUGGCGGCAUUCUAUCUUAUUAGAGGAAUCUGUUUUAUAAUCGACAAUCCACGUUAAUUUUCACUUUAAUUAAAAAUUUAUAUACCGCCAUCUAAAGAAUUAAUCUAUCAAUAUUAUUCCAAAUAAAAAAUAAAAAGUUAGGUCAAGGUGUAAUCAAUAUUAAAGAAAAUAAUGGAUUACAAUAAAAACUAUUUAAGAAUUACUUUACAAAAAUUUACUUUGAAAAAGAAUUUAAAAGUAAUAAUUAAAUAUAAUUUAUAUAUG
RNAcentral lists this ribosomal RNA (279 nucleotides) under Arctosa stigmosa. RNAcentral describes it as "partial 12S ribosomal RNA". The record is from RNAcentral. Lineage: Eukaryota; Metazoa; Arthropoda; Arachnida; Araneae; Lycosidae.